UGCGAAUGGCUCAUUAAAUCAGUUAUCGUUUAUUUGAUAGUACCUUACUACUUGGAUAACCGUGGUAAUUCUAGAGCUAAUACAUGCCAAAAACCUCGACUUCGGGAGGGGUGUAUUUAUUAGAUAAAAAGCCAAUGCCCUUUGGGCUCUUUGGUGAUUCAUGAUAACUUAACGGAUCGCAUGGCCUUGCGCCGGCGACGGUUCAUUCAAAUUUCUGCCCUAUCAACUUUCGAUGGUAAGGUAUUGGCUUACCAUGGUCUCAACGGGUAACGGGGGAUUAGGGUUCGACUCCGGAGAGGGAGCCUGAGAAACGGCUACCACAUCCAAGGAAGGCAGCAGGCGCGCAAAUUACCCAAUCCCGACACGGGGAGGUAGUGACAAUAAAUACUGAUACAGGGCUCUUUUGGGUCUUGUAAUCGGAAUGAGUACAAUUUAAAUCCCUUAACGAGGAACAAUUGGAGGGCAAGUCUGGUGCCAGCAGCCGCGGUAAUUCCAGCUCCAAUAGCGUAUAUUAAAGUUGUUGCAGUUAAAAAGCUCGUAGUUGAACCUUGGGCCUGGCUGGCCGGUCCGCCUCACCGCGUGCACUGGCACGGCCGGGCCUUUCCUCUUGGAGAGCCCCAUGCCCUUCACUGGGCGUGUGGGGGAACCAGGACUUUUACUUUGAAAAAAUUAGAGUGUUCAAAGCAGGCCUUUGCUCGAAUACAUUAGCAUGGAAUAAUGAAAUAGGACGUGCGGUCCUAUUUUGUUGGUUUCUAGGACCGCCGUAAUGAUUAAUAGGGACAGUCGGGGGCAUCCGUAUUCAAUUGUCAGAGGUGAAAUUCUUGGAUUUAUUGAAGACGAACUACUGCGAAAGCAUUUGCCAAGGAUGUUUUCAUUAAUCAGUGAACGAAAGUUAGGGGAUCGAAGACGAUCAGAUACCGUCGUAGUCUUAACCGUAAACUAUGCCGACUAGGGAUCGGGCGAUGUUAUUAUCUUGACUCGCUCGGCACCUUACGAGAAAUCAAAGUUUUUGGGUUCUGGGGGGAGUAUGGUCGCAAGGCUGAAACUUA
RNAcentral lists this ribosomal RNA (1049 nucleotides) under Aigialus parvus. Its description in RNAcentral is "SSU rRNA". It matches the Rfam family "Eukaryotic small subunit ribosomal RNA", at positions 88 to 1146 of the family's 1831-position model. Lineage: Eukaryota; Fungi; Ascomycota; Dothideomycetes; Pleosporales; Aigialaceae. The record is from RNAcentral.